Molecule: long non-coding RNA, 782 nt
Organism: Brassica rapa (field mustard)
Lineage: Eukaryota; Viridiplantae; Streptophyta; Magnoliopsida; Brassicales; Brassicaceae
Source: RefSeq, a predicted model, not a curated record
UUUAUUUCUCACGAGUCACGACCUUUUCAAAUUUUCUCAUAGAUCUCAAACUAAAUUAAUCAAUCUUCUCACAAUCCUCUACAGUCUCAUCUCUUCAUCUCUCAUAACCUCUGGUCCUCUGCAAUCUUCUUCUUUAUGGUGAAGUUCAUCACCUUAUCCUUUUGAAACUGUCACUCGUCACCACCACCACCACCACCGCUCGUCACCACCAUCGCCGUCCGACACCACCACCACCGCUCGUCACCACCAUUGCCGUCCGAUACAAUAUACCUCUAUCUCUCUCUGAUUUUGUUUUGAUUUCGAUCCUAUUCUCAAUCUCUCCGCAUAUCACCUCUCUUCUCUCUCAAACUCACCAGUUCUCAAUCAGUCGAUGAAGAUAGGUUUCAGAGAAUUAAAGGCUGGACAAACAGUCUAAGCUUGGAGAAUCAGAGAAAGGUUGUGGAGAAAACAUGAAAAGAGGUGUCGGAAAAGACAUUGCAACGGCGUCGAAGAUGGUAAAGAAGAUAUAGAGGAAAUUGAAGAGUCAAAGUGAGAGAAGAAGAAGUUGAGAAUCUGAAGCUAUGAAGUGACAGAAUAAAUAUGUCGGAGAAGAAGAAGAGUCAGAGAAGUAUGGUUCCAAGCUCGCCAUCGUCCUUACCCUUUCGGUGGCGGCUAAGAUUGAGGAAGAACUUGGUUAGAUUUAGAUAGGUUUAGCUAUAGUAAAUUGGUUUAAUUAGGACUAGUUAAUAAUUAUAAUUUGCAAUUGUAAACUAUAACCAAAUUUUAAUUUUUAAAAAUACAAA